Molecule: ribosomal RNA, 204 nt
Filed under: Flavobacteriales bacterium
Lineage: Bacteria; Pseudomonadati; Bacteroidota; Flavobacteriia; Flavobacteriales
Description: partial 23S ribosomal RNA
Rfam family: Bacterial large subunit ribosomal RNA
Source: RNAcentral
GCUAGUGUACCAGUUGUCCCGCCAGGGGCACCGCUGGGUAGCUAUGUUCGGACGGGAUAAGCGCUGAAAGCAUCUAAGCACGAAGCCCACCUCAAGAUGAGACUUCUUCUAAGGGUCGUAGAAGAUUACUACGUUGAUAGGCUACAGGUGUAAAGUCAGCAAUGGCAAAGCCGAGUAGUACUAAUUACCCGUCGACUUUCGAUC